GACGAACGCUGGCGGCGUGCUUAACACAUGCAAGUCGAACGGAAAGGCCCUGCUUUUGUGGGGUGCUCGAGUGGCGAACGGGUGAGUAACACGUGAGUAACCUGCCCUUGACCUUGGGAUAACUUCAGGAAACUGGGGCUAAUACCGGAUAGGAGCUCCUGCUGCAUGGUGGGGGUUGGAAAGUUUCGGCGGUUGGGGAUGGACUCGCGGCUUAUCAGCUUGUUGGUGGGGUAGUGGCUUACCAAGGCUUUGACGGGUAGCCGGCCUGAGAGGGUGACCGGCCACAUUGGGACUGAGAUACGGCCCAGACUCCUACGGGAGGCUGCAGUGGGGAAUAUUGCACAAUGGGCGGAAGCCUGAUGCAGCAACGCCGCGUGCGGGAUGACGGCCUUCGGGUUGUAAACCGCUUUCGCCUGUGACGAAGCGUGAGUGACGGUAAUGGGUAAAGAAGCACCGGCUAACUACGUG
Molecule: ribosomal RNA, 468 nt
Filed under: uncultured bacterium
Lineage: Bacteria
Description: partial 16S ribosomal RNA
Rfam family: Bacterial small subunit ribosomal RNA
Source: RNAcentral